GAAUUUGAAGCAUGUUGUUUAAUUCGAUAAUCCACGACAAACCUUACCACUCCUUGAAUAAUAUUUUUUAGUAAUGUAUUAGCAUAGAUAUUAUUAAUUUAAUAUUAAGCUUAUAUAUUAUAUAAUAAUAUAUACAGGUGUUGCAUGGCUGUCUUUAGUUCGUGUUGUGAAAUGUAAGGUUUAUUCCGAUAACGAACGCAACCCUUAUCUUUAGUUUAAAAUUAAAUAUAUUUGAUUUUACUUAAAGAAAUAUCUUUCGAUAUGAAGGAGUAAUUAGGAUGAAGACAAGUCCUCAUGACCCUUAUGGAGUGGGCUAUAGACGUGCCGCAAAAAUUUCUACAAAAGGAUGCAAAGAUGAAAGUCAGAGCUAAUCCAUAAAAGAAAUUAAUGUACGAAUAAGAAUCUGAAACUCGAUUCUUUGAAGAAUU
RNAcentral lists this ribosomal RNA (428 nucleotides) under uncultured Pneumocystis. Its description in RNAcentral is "SSU rRNA". It matches the Rfam family "Bacterial small subunit ribosomal RNA", at positions 934 to 1325 of the family's 1533-position model. Lineage: Eukaryota; Fungi; Ascomycota; Pneumocystomycetes; Pneumocystales; Pneumocystaceae. The record is from RNAcentral.